GACGAACGCUGGCGGCGUGCUUAACACGUGCAAGUCGAACGAUGAAGCCUAGCUUGCUAGGUGGAUUAGUGGCGAACGGGUGAGUAAUACGUGAGUGACCUACCUUUGACUCUGGGAUAAGCCUGGGAAACUGGGUCUAAUACCGGAUACGACCAAUCUCUGCAUGGGGUGUUGGUGGAAAGCGUUAUGGAGUGGCUUUAGAUGGGCUCACGGCCUAUCAGCUUGUUGGUGAGGUAAUGGCUUACCAAGGCGACGACGGGUAGCCGGCCUGAGAGGGUGACCGGCCACACUGGGACUGAGACACGGCCCAGACUCCUACGGGAGGCAGCAGUGGGGAAUAUUGCACAAUGGGCGCAAGCCUGAUGCAGCGACGCCGCGUGAGGGAUGACGGCCUUCGGGUUGUAAACCUCUGUUAGCAUCGAAGAAGCGAAAGUGACGGUAGUGCAGAGAAAGCGC
RNAcentral lists this ribosomal RNA (456 nucleotides) under Rothia dentocariosa. RNAcentral's name for it is "bacterial SSU rRNA". It matches the Rfam family "Bacterial small subunit ribosomal RNA", at positions 28 to 493 of the family's 1533-position model. The record is from RNAcentral. Lineage: Bacteria; Bacillati; Actinomycetota; Actinomycetes; Micrococcales; Micrococcaceae.